AAUUCCACAUCACCUCCUU
Molecule: small nuclear RNA, 19 nt
Filed under: Arabidopsis thaliana (thale cress)
Lineage: Eukaryota; Viridiplantae; Streptophyta; Magnoliopsida; Brassicales; Brassicaceae
Description: snRNA_06580
Source: RNAcentral